AUGGGGAUGGCGGCGGCGCCAUUGAUCGUGUCUCUGUUGUACUGCACGGUGUUGGCGGUGCACGCGUCGCAUGUCGUAUACCCGGAGCUCCAGUCGUUGGAGGCCACGGAGGUGGACAAGGAGCUGCGCACCGGGUACCACUUCCAGCCCCCCAAGCAUUGGAUCAAUGAUCCAAAUGGGCCGAUGUACUACAAGGGGCUGUACCAUCUCUUCUACCAGUACAACCCCAAGGGCGCCGUGUGGGGGAACAUCAUCUGGGCGCACUCGGUGUCGACCGACCUCAUCGACUGGGUGGCGUUGGAGCCCGGGAUCUACCCGUCCAAGCCGUUCGACAUCAACGGUUGCUGGUCGGGCUCUGCCACCAUUCUGCCCAACGGCGUCCCGGUCAUCAUGUACACAGGCAUCGACCCCAAGGAACGCCAGGUGCAGAACGUCGCGUACCCGGCCAACCUCUCCGACCCCUUCCUCCGCAAGUGGGUCAAGCCCGACUAUAACCCCAUCAUCAACCCCGACCAUGGCAUCAACGCCAGCGCCUUCCGUGAUCCCACCACCGCUUGGUACGGGCCAGACGGACACUGGAGGCUGGUGGUUGGCAGCAAGGAGAACAUGAGGGGGAUCGCGGUGUUGUACAGGAGCCGUGACUUUAGGAGGUGGAUCAAGGCACACCACUCGCUGCACGCUGGGCUCACGGGGAUGUGGGAGUGCCCAGACUUCUACCCCGUGGCGGUGGCCGGCGGCAGACGUCACCACCAGAGCGGUGUGGACACCGCAGAGCUGCAUGACAGCACAGUCGCUGCGGAGGUAAAAUAUGUGCUCAAGGUGAGCCUCGACGUAACGCGCUACGAGUACUACACCAUUGGCUGGUACGACCAUGCCAAGGACAGGUACACCCCUGACCUCGACUUCCCAGACAAUGACUACGGUCUCCGAUACGACUAUGGCGACUUCUAUGCAUCCAAGUCAUUCUUUGACCCGGUCAAGAAGCGUCGCGUGCUCUGGGGCUGGGCCAAUGAAUCAGACACUGUCCCCGACGACCGCAACAAGGGUUGGGCCGGCAUCCAGGCGAUACCGAGGAAGAUCUUCCUGUCACGGAGCGGUAGGCAGCUAAUUCAGUGGCCGGUAGAGGAGAUCAAGUCAUUGCGUGCGAAGCACGUCAAUGUCAGCAACAAGGCCGUCAAGGGCGGCGACUACUUCAAGGUCGGCGGCUUCAAAUCCGUGCAGUCGGACGUGGAGGCGGCGUUCAUGAUCAAGAACCUUGAGAAGGCGGAGAAAUUCAACGCGUCGUGGCGGACAGACGCGCAGGGGCUGUGCAAGAAGCUCAACUCACAUGUCAAGGGCGGCGUCGGGCCAUUUGGGCUCUGGUUGCUCGCCUCCGACGACCUCAAGGAAAGAACAGCUGUUUUCUUCAGGGUAUUCAAGAACAAUGACACCAGCUAUGUCGUCCUCAUGUGCAACGACCCUACAAGGUCGUCAUUCGAGUCGCAGAUCUACAGGCCGACCUUCGCCGGCUUCGUCAACAUCGACAUAACCAAGACCAAGAAGAUCGCCCUCAGGACAUUGAUCGACCACUCUGUGGUGGAAAGUUUUGGUGCCGGCGGCAAGACGUGCAUCCUGACGAGGGUCUACCCGAGGAAGGCCGUCGGGGACAACGCACACCUAUUCGUCUUCAACAAUGGCGAGUCGGACAUCAAGCUCACCAACCUGCGUGCAUGGGAGAUGAAGACCCCCACGAUGAACAAACGUCUGGGGCAGUAG
Molecule: ribosomal RNA, 1755 nt
Filed under: Triticum aestivum (bread wheat)
Lineage: Eukaryota; Viridiplantae; Streptophyta; Magnoliopsida; Poales; Poaceae
Description: partial small subunit ribosomal RNA
Source: RNAcentral